Long non-coding RNA from Brassica oleracea var. oleracea, 1132 nucleotides. RefSeq lists it as uncharacterized. The transcript has 3 exons. The record is from RefSeq and is a predicted model, not a curated record. Lineage: Eukaryota; Viridiplantae; Streptophyta; Magnoliopsida; Brassicales; Brassicaceae.
UGGAGAAGUGGAGAGAGGAGGAUCAAUCACGCAUGACGAAACCAUGAUUACAACAUAGAGGAGGCAAGGUUUGGAUUGGAUGAUCUGAAACUCUGGAUCCUGUUUCUGAUUUGGCGAUCAAUUAUACGGAAAAGAGAAUCGAUAGACCUGAAAGAGUUAGUGUGCAGCCUAGAAUUGCGCUCAUUCCAUAACCAGUAGAGGUUGGAUUGCCAAGGCAGUAGUGUGAGUAGACGGUGUGAUCUGUGUGAGUUCUUCAUUUGCUGAAGCGUUUGGUUCCAGCUUCUCAUCGGUUGAAUAGAGCACCUUCUCGCCGUUAGUUCCCAUACGUCAAAGCUGUAGGAGCAGUCAAAGAAGAUGUGGUCACGAGAUUCAUUGUCGUUGUUGCAGAGGAGACAGAUAGGUGAGAAUUGGAGACCCCAAGAUUGGAGUCUAUCCCUCGUCGGACAACAAGCCAAGCAUGGAAUUGUUGUCUAGGAAUUCCAUAGGAGCCCACGAGACCUCAUCCAAAUCGCCUCGCAGGUGGUAGUCGCCAUGCUCCACUGUUGCCUUGUCUGGAAUUCCUAGUCUUGACACAGAGACGUUAAGCACUGAUGCCAAGCUUCCAAACGGGGACCAAUUAUCAUACCAGAACCGAGCCGUGAAGCCAUCUUCUAAGCGGAGCUUAAUCAAUGGAAAGACCACUGAUUUGAGCUUUAGGAGUUUGUUGGCUAACCAAGAGUAGGAGGAGCUUGGUUUUGUGGUCUAGUAAUUAUGUAUCGAGCCGUUGAGAACUUUUUUCUUGAACCAUGCAACCCACACUGAGCCAGCUUUGAAGAAUAGCAGCUAAUUUAGUUUGAUGCAACACGCUAAGUUUCAAGUUUGGAGAUCUCUGAUAUCUAAUCCCCCUUGCUGCUUGGUUUUUGGCAGAAUAAAAGUAGAACAUCAAAAAGUGGUGAUCCCUGAAAUGACCCUCUACUUUAUCCACUUUAUCUGAUCAUACAUAUACGGAUCACUAUGGAAAUCACAUGAUAACAGUAAACAGUGAAUGUAUGAUAUUAAUUCUAGACUGAACUUACAUGACUAAAAAAGAAAAAUCGCCCGCACGCAUAUAUGAAUUGUAUGUGAAUUUAUAUAAUGAGACUGAACUAAUGCA